GCGGAAGUGGCGGAAUUGGUAGACGCACCCGAUUUAGGUUCUGAGCGCCGCCAGAUGUGAGAGGUCAAGUCUCUCCUUCCGCACCA
This 86-nucleotide transfer RNA is filed under the name Vibrio parahaemolyticus 3324. RNAcentral describes it as "tRNA-Leu". It matches the Rfam family "tRNA". Rfam says of the family: Transfer RNA (tRNA) molecules are approximately 80 nucleotides in length. Their secondary structure includes four short double-helical elements and three loops (D, anti-codon, and T loops). Lineage: Bacteria; Pseudomonadati; Pseudomonadota; Gammaproteobacteria; Vibrionales; Vibrionaceae. The record is from RNAcentral.